Molecule: ribosomal RNA, 493 nt
Filed under: uncultured bacterium
Lineage: Bacteria
Description: bacterial SSU rRNA
Rfam family: Bacterial small subunit ribosomal RNA
Source: RNAcentral
AAAUGAAUAGACGGGGGCCCGCACAAGCGGUGGAGCAUGUGGUUUAAUUCGACGCAACGCGAAGAACCUUACCAAGGCUUGACAUCCCUCUGGCCGGACUUUAAUCGGUCCUUUUCUUCGGAACAGAGGAGACAGGUGGUGCAUGGUUGUCGUCAGCUCGUGUCGUGAGAUGUUGGGUUAAGUCCCGCAACGAGCGCAACCCUUGCAUCUAGUUGCCAUCAUUAAGUUGGGCACUCUAGAAGGACUGCCGGUGACAAACCGGAGGAAGGUGGGGAUGACGUCAAAUCAUCAUGCCCCUUAUGUCUUGGGCUACACACGUGCUACAAUGGGCAGUACAGAGGGUCGCGAGACCGCGAGGUUUAGCCAAUCCCAUAAAGCUGCUCUCAGUUCGGAUUGCAGGCUGCAACUCGCCUGCAUGAAGUCGGAAUCGCUAGUAAUCGCAGGUCAGCAUACUGCGGUGAAUACGUUCCCGGGCCUUGUACACACCGCCCGU